RNAcentral lists this ribosomal RNA (627 nucleotides) under uncultured bacterium. Its description in RNAcentral is "bacterial SSU rRNA". It matches the Rfam family "Bacterial small subunit ribosomal RNA", at positions 31 to 668 of the family's 1533-position model. The record is from RNAcentral.
GAACGCUGGCGGCGUGCCUAACACAUGCAAGUCGAGCGGACCAGAAAUGGAGGUAACUUUAUUUCUGGUUAGCGGCGAACGGGUGAGUAACACGUGGGUAACCUGCCCUCAGGAGGAGGAUAACUCGGGGAAACCUGAGCUAAUACUCCAUAAGACCACGAGCUGAAAUGCUUGUGGUAAAAGAAGCAAUUCACCUGAGGAUGGGCCCGCGGCCUAUCAGGUAGUUGGUAGGGUAAUGGCCUACCAAGCCUAUGACGGGUAGCCGAGCUGAGAGGCUGGCCGGCCACACUGGGACUGAGACACGGCCCAGACUCCUACGGGAGGCAGCAGUGGGGAAUAUUGGGCAAUGGGCGAAAGCCUGACCCAGCGACGCCGCGUGGGGGAAGAAGGCCUUCGGGUUGUAAACCCCUUUUGCAGGGGACGACACAGGACGGUACCCUGCGAAUAAGCCACGGCUAACUCUGUGCCAGCAGCCGCGGUAAGACAGAGGUGGCAAGCGUUGCUCGGAUUCACUGGGCUUAAAGGGCGCGUAGGUGGUUUUGUAAGUCUAAGGUGGAAUUCCACAGCUUAACUGUGGGACUGCCUUUGAUACUGCAAGGCUUGAGUCAGGCAGAGGAGGGCGGAAUU